RNAcentral lists this ribosomal RNA (457 nucleotides) under uncultured bacterium. Its description in RNAcentral is "bacterial SSU rRNA". It matches the Rfam family "Bacterial small subunit ribosomal RNA", at positions 29 to 490 of the family's 1533-position model. The record is from RNAcentral.
AUUGAACGCUGGCGGCAUGCCUUACACAUGCAAGUCGAACGGUAGAGGGCUUCGGCCCUUGAGAGUGGCGAACGGGUGAGUAGAGCAUCGGAACGUACCCUGUCGAGGGGGAUAACGUAGCGAAAGUUACGCUAAUACCGCAUGAGACCUUAGGGUGAAAGUGGGGGACUGGAAACGGCCUCACGCGAUGGGAGCGGCCGAUGUCGGAUUAGCUAGUUGGUGGGGUAAAGGCCUACCAAGGCGACGAUCCGUAGCGGGUCUGAGAGGAUGAUCCGCCACACUGGGACUGAGACACGGCCCAGACUCCUACGGGAGGCAGCAGUGGGGAAUUUUGGACAAUGGGCGCAAGCCUGAUCCAGCCAUGCCGCGUGGGUGAAGAAGGCCUCGGUUGUAAGCCUUCGCGGAGAAAUACGUGCGGGCGAACAGUCUGCAUGGAUGACGGUACCGGAAGAAGAAG